Long non-coding RNA from Homo sapiens (human), 3772 nucleotides. RefSeq annotates it as PTCHD1 and PHEX antisense RNA. The record is from RefSeq and is marked validated. The transcript is spliced from 12 exons. Lineage: Eukaryota; Metazoa; Chordata; Mammalia; Primates; Hominidae.
ACAACUGCAGCGAGAGAAGAGGCUGGCAGCAUGGGUGGCAGGAGGCUUGGCAGCCUCACAGGAUGCCUGCAAAUACCUUUCACUUAUGCAGUUUGGCAGUGCAGUGGUGCAUGGAGACAGCGUCUUGGGCCUGGCACCCACAGCCACUUAGGAAGUUGGAGUCCUGGAGAGGAGAACACAGAACGUGGACAACUAGCUGUCAAAUUGCAGUAAAAGUUGGUUCAGGAAAAGUGGAAGCUACCCAGAUGUCUACCAAUUGAGAUGAACCAUCCAAUCUCCUGCCUCGAGUAUUGAAGCCUGGCUACUGUGACUGUGGGGAAGGGAUUAAUGGUCUCAGCAUUCAAAGCUUCUAUUCUGGAAUAGAACAGCUAGCAUACUACCAAGACUUUUCAAGGAGCAAGAAUGGAGCUCCCUGGAGAACUGACUGAACAUGGCUUCAGAGGCAGUAUCCAUGUCACAUUUCAAAGGCCAGAUCUUUCCCAGGGCUUAAGCUGUUCCUUGGAUACUUUUGCUGAUGGUUUACACAUCUUCUUCCCACAUUAUAUUGUAACUUUCUUACGAGCAGGACCUACUUCUGAUCCAGUUCUAUUGUAAAACCGAGACGGGGUCUCACUGUGUCAUCCAGGCUGGAGUGCAGUGGCACAAUCAUACCUCACUGCAGCUUCAACCUCCUGAUCUCAAGCUAUCCUCCAGCUUCAGCUUCCUGAGUAGCUAGGACUACAGUGGAGUCUCCGGCCAGAAUUAAUUAGAACAGCACUUUUGUGGCUUGUACAUGGACACUCAUCUUCAUUUCUUGGACUCUGAGCCUCAAUUUCUCAUUCAAGUGGAGAAAGCAUAUAACAAGAAUAUGGGAGCAAACUCAAGUCCUGCAUCUCAUCCCUGAUGCCCCUUCCUCAGUCUACUCACAUGAGCAUAACUCAGGAAGAAGAGCUGGUUGUUGGUGAAUGUGAUGCCUGGUAGAAGAGGCUCCUCAAGUCCCUGCCUUCUGUCAUUUAUCCAUUUCCUGUAAGCCUGGUGAGAGAAGAAGAAGAGAUGAGUCUCUGCAACGGUCCUCUCAUUUAUUGAUUGCUGUACUAAGUAUUUGAAACUGACACUAGCAGCAGGGAUAUUCAGCCCAGGCCUGGGAGCAUGAUGGAACAUCAAGUGGAUUCAAAGAUUUAAUUUCAUUAAAUUCCAAGAGAAGCCACAGAGUCUCACUCUGUCGCCCAGGCUGUAGUGCACUGGCACAAUCUCGGCUCACUGCAACCUCCGCCUUUUGGGUUCAAGUGAUUCUCCUGCCUCAGCCUCCCGAGCAGCUAGGAUUACAGGCGCCUGCCACCAAGCCUGGCUAAUUUUUUAUAUUUUUGGUAGAGAUGAGGUUUCACCACGUCGGCCAGGCUGGUCUCGAACUCCCAACCUCAGGUGAUCCGCCUGCCUCAGCCUCCCAAAGUGCUGGGAUUACAGGCGUGAGCCACCAUGCCCGGCCUAAGAUCUCUUGAGGGCAAAAGUUUGAAAUAAUCCCCCCUGCCGAUCUUUAUAUUUUGCUGUUUGUCUUGUGACACAAUGGUUAUCGCAGGGAUUCCUGGCAUGCCAGGUUUAGAUAUACAAGCCCUGAGCUUGGCAAUGUGCUGGCACUUUACAAAUUCGUCUCAUUAAAUCUUCCCCUAAAACCCUAUGGGCUAGAUAGCCUCAACAUGUGGCAGACAGGACAAUAGGGGUCUGGAAGGAUAAAAACCUCGACUAAGGCCAUACAAACUAGAUCUCUGAUUCAUGUUCUCACCUUGCCACUCUGAAAAGCAGCAAGAUCAGUGUCGCAGUUAUCACAAAGUUAGGGUUAAGCACCAAUCAUUUCAGAUUUGUGUUUUCCUCUUUAACCACCUUAUUCAAAUAUAAUUAAAUUUUAUGACAGCUACUGAGUUUAACUCCUCAUACAGCAGAUUUAAAUCAUUAUAAUUUCACACUACAUGCCAUGUCUAGAGACGUUGCUACCCAGCUUGACAAGGGAAGAAAAAUAAGAAGUUGUAACCACCCUGUAAAAAUCUAACAUUGAAAGAUGGCCACAAAUCAUAGGGUUCCACACAAAGGCAUGGAUUUGAAAAAGAAAAAACAACUACAGGUUUUUCUGUUUUCUAUUCAAGUCUCUAUUGCGUGCAGAAGAAGAUUUAAGUAGCAUAAAUCAGAAAAUGAUAAUGGGAACUGAAUGAAAUUGUCAUAAAUCACGUUACUAAGUAUAGUUACAUCUUAGAUGUAAAACCCAAUUAAACAGAUGGCCACAUGCUGUCAGAAUCAGCCCCUAAUCAAUAAAGAUGUUCAUUUUAGAGAAUCACCUCAAUUUUUCACUUCUUCAGCGAAGCAAAAAGAAGGCAGUUGUAGGGUGGGGGAAGUCCCAGGAAACCCGGUGGGGAAGUGUGUAAGAAGAAACUCCACCUGUCUUAAUUUGUAGUCCAGAAAAUCAGAAAGGAGAGAGGGGAAAAAAAAGUCACCCAAAGGAUUCCUUGUCAUCUUGCCUGGGAAUGUAAUUUACAAUGAGAGCAAGCACUGGUCAUUAGGAAAACAGAAACAGCUUGAAUCUCUUAAUUAAAAUACUGUUUCAAAUUGUUCAUUUUAAAAAAAACCCUCUGCCCAUGAGCUUUCAUGAAACCAUUGGGUUACCCUGAAAUGGUUUCUUCCUCAGUAAACCUCUGAUAGGAUUAGCCCUUCCCAGGCAAGAAAAAGGCUGAGCAGGGGUGAACCCUGGAGAUGGAACUAUUAUUAGACACACUUAAGUACCCCAAGGAGCAGUAAGCCUUCAGUGACAUUUUAAAGUGAAUGCGGAAACGUCGGCUUUUCUUGCAUCAGAGCUGAUCUCUUACACUCGCUAGACUGGUGAAAAUUAAAUCUACCAAUGCCAAGAGUUGAUGAAAAUGAGGAACAACAGAAACACUUCUGUACUUUGGAACACCAGCUUUGGAAAACAUUUGAUAUUAUCUGGUAGAUAACUUCUUCCUAUCAGCCAAUAAUUCCACUCCUGGAUGUAUACCCUCAGACACUUGUUCCAAGAGACAUUCACAAGAAUAUGCAGAGCAGCACUGUUCAUAAGCAAAAACCUGGGUGUGGGGACUCAUAGGCUGGACAACAGAAGAAUAAACAAUCUGGGGGUACAGUCAUGAAAUAUUAUACAGCAGUGAACAUGAAAACAACCUACCACCACAUGCUACACGAACAAAUCCUAAAAACAUGUUGACUGAAAAAUCGCAGUUGUUUAAGAUUGCAUACAGUAAGAUACCAUUUUUAUUAUACUAAGAAACAAGUAAAAAUAAACAACAUAUUCUUUAGGGAUACCUAUAUAAAUAAAGUUUUAUUUUAAAAAAACAAAACAAAAAUGAUAAACCCUCAAAUCAGAAGAGUGUUACUUCUGUGGUGAGAGGGAGGGAUGGUUCCUGAUGGGGUGAGGGCGUCGUAGGCACAUAUUAAUUUCGUCAUGUUUUCAUAUAUUCUUUAUAACUUAUAUGUGCCAAAAUGUUACAUGUUCUUUUGCAUGUACCAAAUAUUAGACAAUAAAACGUUUUUAAGUGAAUAAUCUAAACAAUUUCUAUUUCCCAAUAGAAUGUCCUAAAUGUGAUUAUAAUUAAUAAUAAAUUAUUAUAAGUAUUAGUUAUAAUUAAUAACUCAAAUAUCAUAAGUUCCCAUAUAACAUAUGCAACUUAGUUCUCAAGUUGGCAUUUAGGGCCUUAAGAAAGCAAUGGUAGUUUCGUGAUAAUGAAUAUUUAUACAGUAAGAAGUGACAUUCAAAAUAUUUAACAACUUACUUGGU